GACGAAGGGGGCAAGCGUUGGUUCGGAAUUACCGGGCGUAAAGCGAGUGUAGGUGGUUGUCGUAGUCAGGCGUGAAAGCCUCGAGCUCAACUCGAGAAAUGCGCUUGAUACUGGGCAGCUAGAGGACCGGAGAGGAUAGUGGAAUUCCCAGUGUAGUGGUGAAAUACGUAGAGAUUGGGAAGAACACCAGUGGCGAAGGCGGCUAUCUGGACGGUUUCUGACACUAAGACUCGAAAGCGAUGGGGAGCAAACAGG
RNAcentral lists this ribosomal RNA (255 nucleotides) under uncultured bacterium. RNAcentral's name for it is "partial 16S ribosomal RNA". It matches the Rfam family "Bacterial small subunit ribosomal RNA", at positions 524 to 776 of the family's 1533-position model. The record is from RNAcentral.